Molecule: ribosomal RNA, 519 nt
Filed under: uncultured bacterium
Lineage: Bacteria
Description: bacterial SSU rRNA
Rfam family: Bacterial small subunit ribosomal RNA
Source: RNAcentral
GAUGAACGCUGGCGGCGUGCCUAACACAUGCAAGUCGAACGGUAACAGGCUUUCACUGUUUACUGCUCACUUUCGAUUUUUCGAGAGGUAAAUGAGAAGUAAAGAGUGAAAGUGCUGACGAGUGGCGGACGGCUGAGUAACGCGUGGGAAUUUGCCCCAAAGUGAGGGAUAACUGCCCGAAAGGGUAGCUAAUACCGCAUAUGGUCUUCGGAUUAAAGGAUUUAUCCGCUUUGGGAGAAGCCCGCGUACGAUUAGAUAGUUGGUGAGGUAAUGGCUCACCAAGUCGACGAUCGUUAACUGGUCUGAGAGGAUGAUCAGUCAGACUGGAACUGAGACACGGUCCAGACUCCUACGGGAGGCAGCAGUGAGGAAUCUUCCACAAUGGGGGCAACCCUGAUGGAGCAACGCCGCGUGCAGGAUGAAGGCCUUCGGGUCGUAAACUGCUUUUAUUUGUGAAGAAUAUGACGGUAACAAAUGAAUAAGGGUCGGCUAACUACGUGCCAGCAGCCGCGGUAACAC